Molecule: ribosomal RNA, 475 nt
Filed under: Poeonoma acantha
Lineage: Eukaryota; Metazoa; Arthropoda; Insecta; Lepidoptera; Noctuidae
Description: partial 16S large subunit ribosomal RNA
Source: RNAcentral
UGUCUUUUUGAAAAUAAUAUAAAGUCUAAUCUGCCCACUGAUUAUUUAAUUAAAGGGCUGCAGUAUAUUGACUGUACAAAGGUAGCAUAAUCAUUAGUCAUUUAAUUGAUGACUUGUAUGAAGGAUUGAAUGAAAUAUAGACUGUCUCUUAAUUAAAUAUAGAAUUUAAUUUUUUAAUAAAAAAGUUAAAAUAAUUUAAAAAGACGAGAAGACCCUAUAGAGUUUUAUAAGUGAUUUAAUUGAGAUUAUUUAAUAGUAUAAAAUUAAAAUUAAUUUAGUUAUUGUGUUGGGGUGAUAGAAAAAUGUAAUAAACUUUUUUUAUUUUUUACAUUUAUAAGUGAUUAUUUGAUCCAAUAUUAUUGAUUAUAAGAAAAAAUUACCUUAGGGAUAACAGCGUAAUUUUUUUUUUUAGUUCAUAUAAGAAAAAGAGUUUGCGACCUCGAUGUUGGAUUAAGAUAAAAUUUAAAUGUAGAAG